GACGAACGCUGGCGGCGCGCCUAACACAUGCAAGUCGAACGGAGUCAAGAGGAGCUUGCUUUUCUUGACUUAGUGGCGAACGGGUGAGUAACGCGUGAGUAACCUGCCCUGGAGUGGGGGACAACAGUUGGAAACGACUGCUAAUACCGCAUAAGCCCACGGAUCCGCAUGGAUCUGCGGGAAAAGGAUUUAUUCGCUUCAGGAUGGACUCGCGUCCAAUUAGCUAGUUGGUGAGGUAACGGCCCACCAAGGCGACGAUUGGUAGCCGGACUGAGAGGUUGAACGGCCACAUUGGGACUGAGACCCGGCCCAGACUCCUACGGGAGGCAGCAGUGGGGGAUAUUGCACAAUGGGGGAAACCCUGAUGCAGCGACGCCGCGUGGAGGAAGAAGGUUUUCGGAUUGUAAACUCCUGUCGUUAGGGACGAUAAUGACGGUACCUAACAAGAAAGCACCGGCUAACUACGUG
RNAcentral lists this ribosomal RNA (468 nucleotides) under uncultured bacterium. RNAcentral's name for it is "partial 16S ribosomal RNA". It matches the Rfam family "Bacterial small subunit ribosomal RNA", at positions 28 to 507 of the family's 1533-position model. The record is from RNAcentral.